CCUACGGGUGGCAGCAGUGAGGAAUAUUGGUCAAUGGACGAGAGUCUGAACCAGCCAAGUAGCGUGAAGGAUGACUGCCCUAUGGGUUGUAAACUUCUUUUAUAUGGGAAUAAAAUGCUCCACGUGUGGGAUUUUGUAUGUACCAUAUGAAUAAGGAUCGGCUAACUCCGUGCCAGCAGCCGCGGUAAUACGGAGGAUCCGAGCGUUAUCCGGAUUUAUUGGGUUUAAAGGGAGCGUAGGUGGAUUGUUAAGUCAGUUGUGAAAGUUUGCGGCUCAACCGUAAAAUUGCAGUUGAAACUGGCAGUCUUGAGUACAGUAGAGGUGGGCGGAAGUCGUGGUGUAGCGGUGAAAUGCUUAGAUAUCACGAAGAACUCCGAUUGCGAAGGCAGUUCACUGGACUGCAACUGACACUGAGGCUCGAAAGUGUGGGUAUCAAACAGGAUUAGAUACCCCUGUAGUC
RNAcentral lists this ribosomal RNA (460 nucleotides) under uncultured bacterium. RNAcentral's name for it is "partial 16S ribosomal RNA". It matches the Rfam family "Bacterial small subunit ribosomal RNA", at positions 338 to 795 of the family's 1533-position model. The record is from RNAcentral.